UGGGGAAUUUUGGACAAUGGGGGAAACCCUGAUCCAGCCAUCCCGCGUGUGCGAUGAAGGCCUUCGGGUUGUAAAGCACUUUUGGCAGGAAAGAAACGUCAUGGGUUAAUACCCCGUGAAACUGACGGUACCUGCAGAAUAAGCACCGGCUAACUACGUGCCAGCAGCCGCGGUAAUACGUAGGGUGCAAGCGUUAAUCGGAAUUACUGGGCGUAAAGCGUGCGCAGGCGGUUCGGAAAGAAAGAUGUGAAAUCCCAGAGCUCAACUUUGGAACUGCAUUUUUAACUGCCGGGCUAGAGUGUGUCAGAGGGAGGUGGAAUUCCGCGUGUAGCAGUGACAUGCGUAGAUAUGCGGAGGAACACCGAUGGCGAAGGCAGCCUCCUGGGAUAACACUGACGCUCAUGCACGAAAGCGUGGGGAGCAAACAGG
Molecule: ribosomal RNA, 429 nt
Filed under: Acidobacteriota bacterium
Lineage: Bacteria; Pseudomonadati; Acidobacteriota
Description: Acidobacteria bacterium partial 16S ribosomal RNA
Rfam family: Bacterial small subunit ribosomal RNA
Source: RNAcentral